GACGAACGCUGGCGGCGUGCUUAACACAUGCAAGUCGAACGGAAAGGCCCCCACUUUUUUGGUGGGGGUGCGCGAGUGGCGAACGGGUGAGUAACACGUGGGUGAUCUGCCCUGUACUUCGGGAUAAGCUUGGGAAACUGGGUCUAAUACCGGAUAGGACCAUGGUUUAGUGUCUCAUGGUGGAAAAAUUAUUGUUUUGGUGCAGGAUGAGCUCGCGGCCUAUCAGCUUGUUGGUGGGGUAAUGGCCUACCAAGGCGUCGACGGGUAGCCGGCCUGAGAGGGUGGACGGCCACAUUGGGACUGAGAUACGGCCCAGACUCCUACGGGAGGCAGCAGUGGGGAAUAUUGCACAAUGGGCGCAAGCCUGAUGCAGCGACGCCGCGUGGGGGAUGACGGCCGUCGGGUUGUAAACUCCUUUCGUUAGGGACGAAGCCGCACCUUUUUUGGGUGUGGUGACGGUACCUUUGUUAAGAAGCACCGGCUAACUACGUG
This 492-nucleotide ribosomal RNA is filed under the name uncultured bacterium. RNAcentral describes it as "partial 16S ribosomal RNA". It matches the Rfam family "Bacterial small subunit ribosomal RNA", at positions 28 to 507 of the family's 1533-position model. The record is from RNAcentral.